Molecule: ribosomal RNA, 786 nt
Filed under: uncultured Acaulosporaceae
Lineage: Eukaryota; Fungi; Glomeromycota; Glomeromycetes; Diversisporales; Acaulosporaceae
Description: eukaryotic LSU rRNA
Rfam family: Eukaryotic large subunit ribosomal RNA
Source: RNAcentral
GUCAAGUAAGAAUACCCGCUGAACUUAAGCAUAUCAAUAAGCGGAGGAAAAGAAACUAACUAGGAUUCCCUUAGUAACGGCGAGUGAACCGGGAAGAGCUCAAAUUUUAAAUCACCUUGGUGAAUUGUAAUUUGAAGAAAGUGUUUUGACUUUUCAGUUUAAUCCAAAUCCUUUGGGAUGAGGUAUCACAGAGGGUGAGAAUCCCGUUCGUGAUUAGACAUCGGAAUGCAUUAAUUCACUUUCUAAGAGUCGAGUUGUUUGGGAUUGCAGCUCAAAAUGGGUGGUAAAUUUCACCUAAGACUAAGUAUAUGCGAGAGACCGAUAGCGAACAAGUACCGUGAGGGAAAGAUGAAAAGAACUUUGAAAAGAGAGUUAAACAGUACGUGAAAUUAUUGAAAGGGAAACGAUUGAAGUCAGUCAUGCUAGUGAGAAAUCAACUUGUGUGGAGCGAGUUUUUUCUCAAUCUUCCUUGUGUACUUUCUUGCUUGGCAGGUUAGCAUCAAUUUUGGUUGUCAUCAAAGAAUUGGGGAAAUGUGGCUUCUCUUCGGUGAAGUGUUAUAGACCCUGAUAGAUGUGACGACUGAGAUUGAGGAUUGCAGCGGAUGCCUUUGGGCUAGUCACCUAUCUUCUGACUGUCACCUCGCUCCUGACAGCUUGCUGAUGAUUGCGGGAUUUGGCGAUCUAGGAGUUAGAGUGAAUAUAAAUUCGCUAAGGAUGCUGACGUAAUGGCUUUAAACGACCCGUCUUGAAACACGGACCAAGGAGUCUAACAUAUGUGCGAGUGUU